This 512-nucleotide ribosomal RNA is filed under the name uncultured bacterium. Its description in RNAcentral is "partial 16S ribosomal RNA". It matches the Rfam family "Bacterial small subunit ribosomal RNA", at positions 28 to 507 of the family's 1533-position model. The record is from RNAcentral.
GAUGAACGCUGGCGGCGUGCCUAAUACAUGCAAGUCGAACGAAACUUCUUUAUCACCGAGUGCUUGCACUCACCGAUAAAGAGUUGAGUGGCGAACGGGUGAGUAACACGUGGGCAACCUGCCCAAAAGAGGGGGAUAACACUUGGAAACAGGUGCUAAUACCGCAUAACCAUAGUUACCGCAUGGUAACUAUGUAAAAGGUGGCUAUACUACCGCCUUUGGAUGGGCCCGCGGCGCAUUAGCUAGUUGGUAGGGUAAAGGCUUACCAAGGCAAUGAUGCGUAGCCGAAUUGAGAGGUUGAUCGGCCACAUUGGGACUGAGACACGGCCCAAACUCCUACGGGAGGCAGCAGUAGGGAAUCUUCCACAAUGGGCGAAAGCCUGAUGGAGCAACGCCGCGUGGGUGAAGAAGGUCUUCGGAUCGUAAAACCCUGUUGUUAGAGAAGAAAGUGCGUGAGAGUAACUGUUCACGUUUCGACGGUAUCUAAACAGAAAGCCACGGCUAACUACGUG